Molecule: long non-coding RNA, 586 nt
Filed under: Nicotiana tabacum (common tobacco)
Lineage: Eukaryota; Viridiplantae; Streptophyta; Magnoliopsida; Solanales; Solanaceae
Description: long non-coding RNA (NTAB_LNC010983)
Source: RNAcentral
GAUAAGUAAGCCCAAUAACUAUUGGUGGUGGUUGACGUCCCAUCAGUUGAGUUCUCUCCGGAUUGUGAGAGCGAGAUAGCUAUUGGAUGAGGGAAGUUGGUCUCAGACUUAACUAUCGUUUGCUAUUGCUGCUGAAUCAAUGGAGUUGAACGGUAUGUAUAUCUAACCCUAACUCAAGAAUAUGUUUAUACUUGUGUUUUAAUCUCUGCUAUGGUCGUUGACUUAAUUUAUUACAUAUACCUGAAAAGCAGUGAAUUUGAAUGGAGAUGCAUUUUGGAAAACUCCAUCUUUGAGCCAUCUCUCAGGAUUGAAUGAAGCUGCAUCAGAACCCCAGUUGUAUUCCAUUCUGCCCAUAGAGUAAGGUACAUAAGUCACCAUUCCUCCAGCUUUUAACUUUGUUCCAUCUGGUAAUACAUCAUCUUCCAAUAUACCCUUAGGAUCCUAUAUGAAUAAAAAAAAUAUGACUAGUGACCAAUUGACAAGAAUGUGCACAUAAUUUUCUCUGCAUUAUGCAACAAAAAUCAAGGAUACUAACCUGAGGAACAGCGGGGUACAACCGAAGAGUUUCUGUAAUGACAGCAUGCAA